This is a long non-coding RNA of Pipra filicauda (Wire-tailed manakin), 1588 nucleotides long. RefSeq lists it as uncharacterized. The record is from RefSeq and is a predicted model, not a curated record. The transcript has 4 exons. NCBI's taxonomy places the organism in Eukaryota, Metazoa, Chordata, Aves, Passeriformes, Pipridae.
GUACGUCCACUCCCUGCCCCGGUACAACCCCCAGCUCUGCCCAGCAGCCCAGCGAUGGGCAGAAACGCUCCGUCCCUCCAAGAUAGUGUGAGCAUCAGGCACUUCUGAAUGACCUUUAGUAAGGCACAGGAAGCUAGUAGCAGCAUCCAAAACCUGAAGAUACCUCCAUUUAUGUUUGGAUCAUGAUACAAUUUCCAGCCUUCCAAAGUUGCAGCUCUCCAGGCCUGACCACAUCGUUUGCAUAAGCGCUGUGCCUGAAAAAUAAUGGAUUUUCUCAGCAACACACUUUAAGAUUGUCAAUCCCUGCUGAUUCUGAACUGACAAUCAAACGACCAGUCAAAUGAAGAACUGUGUCUAAAAUCAGAGACACCUUAGAGCCAGUGCUGAGUCCUCUACGGCCAGCUUGUUAGUAACGCAGCAGAAAACUUAAAGCAUCAUAAUACAAUGAUUUUAUUUAUUUAUACCUGAGAAAAAUAAGUACAUUUUAAUCCAGCUUAUUGACACUAAGAAAAAUAUCUGUACAUCUGCUACCGUGAGUUGCCACUUGACACUUGCAGUGGAGUGGCAGCCAGAUGACAUUUUUUAGUAUUCAGCAACUACACCACGGGUAUUUCUGUGCCAAAGUAGUGUAUGAAGAAAGAGUGAUGUUCAUCAUUGAGUGAUACUCAAUGCUAGCAUGACUCGUAACACUGCAACCAGCUGGAAGAUUUAAAGUAUGUUAAGCACUCUGACUUCUCAGCAAAACUGCUUUGAGAAGGGCAAGUAAACUACUUACCUGACUGUUACAAAUAUUUUCAUACUCAUCCACAAGAUCAAAAAUGGUAGUUGAUGUAUGCUUCAGGAAGGAAUGCAGAAAAUCUGAGUACAUGCUCAUAGUAGCUAGGACAGAUUUAAUAAGAAAGCCAUAUUAGUCAGAUGCAACUUCAUAAAAAAACCCCAACAGACUACAAAAAAAUUCUUCUGAUGACAAGGCAUCUCAUCUUUCACAAAUUUAAAUGAGAACAUUGAUGAUAUCAACUAUUUAGAUCCGAUAAAGUCAUAAGAACUUAUCAGCUAAGACAGCAAGACAGACAGAAGCUAUGAACUAAGUAAAAUAAUUAGAAAACUUUUGCUGUGGAUAUGUCAUCUGCAAAAGUUUUAAAAGCAAACUCAUUUGAGUAUCUCCCCAGUCCACUAAUCCAGUUGUGUCUGACAUCACCAGAGCAUCCCAAUUUUUCCAUCAGGUUCCCCAGAAGACACAAAUUCGCAAAACUCCAAUAAACUGGAACAGCUUAAUUUUCUGAACUUUUUCAACUAGACUGUUUUUGACUAAGAAAUAGCAGCAAAAUAAUAGAGAAAAAACCCCAAACAUAUAAAUUUAUAUCCCACAAAUAAGAUUAUUAUGAAAACUCCAGAUUGUCUCACCAGCUUCCCCAGGAUCAUCCUCACGCAACAGUACAGCACUCAUAGUGACAUCUUCUGUCAUAUUGGACAGGUCUGGAUUUACAAACAUUCCUGUCUGCUGAGGCGAGAGUGCCAUUGUCCAGCUACUUUCAUCCAACUAAAACCACAAGAACAUAAAGAAAAUAAAUCGCAGUCUCAGAUAUUA